AACGAGAACCACAAUUUCCCAUAAUAACAGCCUUCUUGGAAAAAGAGAGAGGGGAGCGUUUGCAGAGACAGAGAGAGAGAUUACAACCCGAACCCGGAACCGAAGUGAAAAUGGGCAAGGAUCUAAGCGACGACCAAGUCUCUUCGAUGAAGGAGGCGUUCACGCUCUUUGACACCGACGGAGACGGCAAGAUCGCCCCGUCUGAGCUUGGGAUACUCAUGCGUUCCCUCGGUGGUAAUCCAACGCAGGCCCAGCUCAAGUCCAUAAUCGCCGAGGAAAACCUGACCGCACCCUUUGACUUCCCGCGCUUUCUGGACCUUAUGGCCAAGCACAUGAAACCCGAGCCCUUCGAUCGACAGCUCCGUGACGCGUUCAAGGUACUGGACAAGGACAAUACGGGUUACGUCACCGUCUCGGAUCUGCGCCACAUCUUGACCAACAUUGGGGAGAAGCUGGAGCCUUCUGAGUUCGAUGAGUGGAUCCGGGAGGUGGAUGUUGGGUCCGACGGGAGGAUCCGUUACGAAGAUUUCAUUGCCAGGAUGGUCGCUAAGUGAGAUCGUGAAGAAUUCGGGAGGAUCAAUUACAAAGAUUUCAUUGCCAGGAUGGUUAAGUGAGAUCGUGAAGAAUUCGGGUUGGGCGCAAUGCUUUAUGUGAAGUUUUGUUGACAUGAUCUUUACUUAUUGGGGAUUGUCAACAAGGUCGGGACUGAACAAUUGGUUGGCUUUGAUCUGUUAAGUUUCAAGUGUUUUUUUCCUCCCAUUUUGCUCUCUGUCACCAGCAGGUUUUUGUCUUUUUCUUGAUGCAAACUCUGAAGGCAUGAUUUUGGUGUACUAUGAUUUCCUAGACAAUUAUAAAUGUUGUGCAUCCUGGACUGGAGAUUAAAGAUUGAUGUUAAAAGAUCUGAUAAUGUUGAAAAUGAUGUGUUACAAUUUCGUGUA
Molecule: RNA transcript, 938 nt
Organism: Tripterygium wilfordii
Lineage: Eukaryota; Viridiplantae; Streptophyta; Magnoliopsida; Celastrales; Celastraceae
Gene name: probable calcium-binding protein CML13
Exons: 3
Source: RefSeq, a predicted model, not a curated record